RNAcentral lists this ribosomal RNA (301 nucleotides) under uncultured bacterium. Its description in RNAcentral is "partial 16S ribosomal RNA". It matches the Rfam family "Bacterial small subunit ribosomal RNA", at positions 509 to 809 of the family's 1533-position model. The record is from RNAcentral.
CAGUAGCCACGGGAAUACGAAGGGGGCUAGCGUUGUUCGGAUUUACUGGGCGUAAAGGGCGCGUAGGCGGACUGAUAAGUCAGGGGUGAAAUCCCAAGGCUCAACCUUGGAACUGCCUUUGAUACUGUUUGUCUUGAGUUCGAGAGAGGUAAGUGGAACUGCGAGUGUAGAGGUGAAAUUCGUAGAUAUUCGCAAGAACACCAGUGGCGAAGGCGGCUUACUGGCUCGAAACUGACGCUGAGGCGCGAAAGCGUGGGGAGCAAACAGGAUUAGAUACCCCGGUAGUCCCUGUCUCUUAUAA